RNAcentral lists this transfer RNA (71 nucleotides) under Bos taurus (domestic cattle). It matches the Rfam family "tRNA". Rfam says of the family: Transfer RNA (tRNA) molecules are approximately 80 nucleotides in length. Their secondary structure includes four short double-helical elements and three loops (D, anti-codon, and T loops). Further hydrogen bonds mediate the characteristic L-shaped molecular structure. tRNAs have two regions of fundamental functional importance: the anti-codon, which is responsible for specific mRNA codon recognition, and the 3' end, to which the tRNAs corresponding amino acid is attached (by aminoacyl-tRNA synthetases). tRNAs cope with the degeneracy of the genetic code in two manners: having more than one tRNA (with a specific anti-codon) for a particular amino acid; and 'wobble' base-pairing, i.e. permitting non-standard base-pairing at the 3rd anti-codon position. The record is from Rfam by way of RNAcentral. RNAcentral also lists the same sequence under 2 other names. Lineage: Eukaryota; Metazoa; Chordata; Mammalia; Artiodactyla; Bovidae.
ACCCUGUUGGCUAAGCUGUAAAGAAUCUGCCUGCAAUGCAGGAGACCUGGGUUCGAUCCCUGGGUUGGGAA